Molecule: ribosomal RNA, 548 nt
Filed under: uncultured Glomus
Lineage: Eukaryota; Fungi; Glomeromycota; Glomeromycetes; Glomerales; Glomeraceae
Description: SSU rRNA
Rfam family: Eukaryotic small subunit ribosomal RNA
Source: RNAcentral
UUGGAGGGCAAGUCUGGUGCCAGCAGCCGCGGUAAUUCCAGCUCCAAUAGCGUAUAUUAAAGUUGUUGCAGUUAAAAAGCUCGUAGUUGAAUUUCGGGAUCAUCUUGUCGGUCGUGCCUCGGUACGCACUGGCAUUAUUGGUUCCUCCCUUCUGAAGAACCGCGAUGUCAUUAAUUUGGUGUCGUGGGAAAUCAGGACUGUUACUUUGAAAAAAUUAGAGUGUUUAAAGCAGGCGCACGCUUGAAUACAUUAGCAUGGAAUAAUGAAAUAGGACGUUUGAUUCUAUUUUGUUGGUUUCUAGGAUCGACGUAAUGAUUAAUAGGGAUAGUUGGGGGCAUUAGUAUUCAAUUGUCAGAGGUGAAAUUCUUGGAUUUAUUGAAGACUAACUACUGCGAAAGCAUUUGCCAAGGAUGUUUUCAUUAAUCAAGAACGAAAGUUAGGGGAUCGAAGACGAUCAGAUACCGUCGUAGUCUUAACCAUAAACUAUGCCGACUAGGGAUCGGACGAUGUUAAUUUUAUAAUGGCUCAUUCGGCGCCUUACGGGAAAC